UACAGAGGGUGCAAGCGUUAAUCGGAUUUACUGGGCGUAAAGGGCGCGUAGGUGGUUACGUAAGUGAGAUGUGAAAUCCCCGGGCUUAACCUGGGAACUGCAUCUUAUACUGCGUAGCUUGAGUGCAGUAGAGGGUAGUGGAAUUUCCGGUGUAGCGGUGAAAUGCGUAGAUAUCGGAAGGAACACCAGUGGCGAAGGCGGCUACCUGGACUGACACUGACACUGAGGCGCGAAAGCGUGGGGAGCAAACAGG
Molecule: ribosomal RNA, 253 nt
Filed under: uncultured bacterium
Lineage: Bacteria
Description: partial 16S ribosomal RNA
Rfam family: Bacterial small subunit ribosomal RNA
Source: RNAcentral